This 255-nucleotide ribosomal RNA is filed under the name uncultured bacterium. RNAcentral's name for it is "partial 16S ribosomal RNA". It matches the Rfam family "Bacterial small subunit ribosomal RNA", at positions 524 to 776 of the family's 1533-position model. The record is from RNAcentral.
UACGUAGGGUGCAAGCGUUGUCCGGAAUUAUUGGGCGUAAAGAGCUCGUAGGCGGUCUGUCGCGUCUGCUGUGAAAACUCGGGGCUUAACCCCGGGCCUGCAGUGGGUACGGGCAGACUAGAGUGCGGUAGGGGAGACUGGAAUUCCUGGUGUAGCGGUGAAAUGCGCAGAUAUCAGGAGGAACACCGGUGGCGAAGGCAGAUCUCUGGGCCGUAACUGACGCUGGAGGAGCGAAAGCCAUGGGGAGCGAACAGG